AUUAUAUUUGGCUUAGGAGUUGUUUGGUUCUACGUAAAACAGUGAAAAAUAGUUUUUGGUGGAAAAAAAAAAGUUUUACGUUUUGUAGUGUUUGGUUUGUAGGAAAAAAAGUAGUUGUCGAUCAAUAUUUGUUUGGUCGAAAGGGAAAAAAAAAUAUCUACAUUUGUUUGGUUGGGUGGAAAAAAAUGAAUGGAAAAAGUUUUACGUAGCUUGAGUUUUCGUGUUCCGUUGAAAAACAACAGAAAACGAAAGCUUACAAUUUUUUCCCAAAUCCGUUAAAAUACUUUUGGUUACCGUUUGGUUCGGGGUUAAGGAAAAACUAGUUAUUCCAGAAAUAGGGUUAAGUUUAGGGUUAAGGUGGGGUUAGAGUAUUUUUGUGUUUGGUUGAGAAUUGGAGUUAGUCCAGGAUUAAAGAAAAUAGUGUUUGAUUGGAGUAGGUGGAAUAAGAAGGAUAGUAGGUAAAAUAGUGUUUUGUUUGGUUGGAGUAGUCGGGUGGGGUGGGGUUAGCUGGGGUUAGCUAACCCCACUCCAAAUAGGCUAUCCCGGGUUAGCCCAUUUGGGGUGGGAUUAGCUAACCCCACCCCCCUAAAAUCAUGUUUGGGAAUAAAACCGGGGUUAAGGGGUUAUCCCACCCCUUAACCCCGAACCGAACACAAGCUUGGGGGAAAAUGUUUUUACGUCGAACCAAACAAGCGAAAAGCAUUUUUCAUGGAGAAAACAAUUUUCUGUUUGUUUUACGCUAAGGGCGUGUUUGGAUCCAUGUAAAACUAGUCCGAAAAUUUUUUUUUCAGUUGAAAAAUAUUUUUCCUUUGUUUGGUUCUCUGUAAAAAAUUUUUCCCGGAAAACUUUUUUUACGAAUAUGCGGAAAACUCGCGUUUUCGUUUUCCGCUCCGUCCGAGCGGAAAACGAAAAACUACAGGGAAAAAGUCGCGGCUCACAAGCACGGCUCACAUCUUUUAAAAUAUAAUUAAACUUUAUUAAAAUUUAUUAAUUAACAAUGCACAUAAACAUGCAUAUGAGUUGAUCACAUAUAUAUAUAUAUAUAUAUAUAUUUUAAUUUUUCCCUCUCUCUCGAUCCAAGUGACGAGAGAGAGAGAGAGCCAGGUGCUCCACUUUGUGUGGAGCACCUGGCGCACGUUNUAAUAUAUAAAUUAUAAUAAUUAAAUAUAUUAUGAUAAUUAUUAUAUAUUAAUAAUAUAUAAUAUAUAUAAUUAGAGAAAAUAUAUAUAAUAAUUAUAAUAUACUAAUAAUAUAUAUAAUAAAAAAUAUAUUAAAUAGUUUUUCAUCUACUUUUCUUUUUCUUUCAACCAAACAACUGUCAUGGAAAAUUGCCUUUCUUUUUCUACAAACCAAACACAAACGAUGUAAAACUUUUUUCCACCGAAAAUUUUUUUUCCACAGUUUUACGUGGAACCAAACACACCCCAAACCAAACACCCCUUAGGGAUGUUAGAAAUUUCUUGGGAUAAAGGCCUAGAUAUGGGAAUAGCAGAAUCUGUCAUGCCAAUGGAAUUGCUAUCACCGAGAAUAAAUUUUGUUGUAUGUUUUCCCCUAUUCCAAUCCUGGGUAAUGCCACCUUUGUUUUUGUUGGCUAUAAUGGGAAUAUCUACCACUAUCUCCACUCUAUUUCUCAACCACACACUGCUUUAAUUGGUACCCAUCUUGUUUUAAAUGCUGUGAAGUUCGCUUUGGAGGAAGACAUAAAGAGGUCUUUGCUUGUUCAUUCUGGGAAACAAUUGUUGCAACUGGUUUCUGAGGAUUACAAAAUAAGAGAAAUUGAUUCUUAAGAAUUUUAAGAGGCUUUUGGAUUUAUGAUGAUAUUGCUGAGGAACUCUUUUUUCAGUUUUUGCUUUUGUUUUUUUUUUUUUUCUCUAAUUACCAAGUAAUAUGUUCCAUAAUUUAAAUAAUUGUGCUGGUUUCUUCAGGGUCCUAAAUCUGGAGAGGCAACCUCGGCCACACCCAAAGGCCCAGAGGUCGAGGCCAAUCCGAGCGGCACACCAGGGUCAUCAACAUCUGGUGUUUCGACUGACACCAAUAGGAACUAUGCUGUUUUGGCUGGUACGAUCGCCGCUGUUUCUGGAUUGGGUUGGUACCUCUUGUCCAAACCCAAGAAAUCUGAUGAAGUUGUGGACUGAGAGCCAAAAAGAUUGACCUACAUUAACGGUUCGGUUUCUUCUUUGCAAGUUGAUUGCAAAACCUCGUCUUUUUUUGUUGAACUUAUCGGCCUCCUUUAUGCACUAGCAGACUAUACUGACUUGCUCACAAGUAUAAUCUCUUGUAUGUUUUGCUCUUGGACUUUUCUGGAAUUUUGAUGGAGAAAAUAAUUGUUCAUGACAAUUGCUGAAUACAAUACAGGACAUACUAUUUCUUUGCUCCAAAUGGACCGUCGUUUUCCCCUCUUCUUCUUCUUCUUCCAUUUAUUUUUGUUUUAAAGAUUUGUUGUAUCCAUAUCUUAAGACCUAUUAGAUAGUUGUUUCUGAAACUGCCGAGUGGAAGCACAUUGUUAGGGCCUUUGUAAUACGUGUAUAUUCUUCCACAGGACGGCUUUUCAGCGGUUUCCCUAGCAAGGUUUUGAGUACGUUUAAGGAGGUUUUUGUUCUUCAAUCUGCCAGAACUCUUGGUGGGAGUCAUUUGAGGGGAUUCCACUCUUUCUGGAAUAAGAAUCGAAAUGGAAGUCUCUCAUAACAAAUAGCGACAACGUGAGUUCCUUAUUACGGUUCUCAUUCCUGUCAUUCCGAUUCUUAUUCUAGACUCAAAAUUCGCUGAACCAAACAGGUCCUUGGUAUCAAUGGUUGAGGGAUUCUUCAGUUACCCUAGAAUCAAAAUUAACAUUGUAUUAGGAAGAAAUUCAAUCUAGGAAACAACGACAAUGGAGGAGUUCAAUCCACAAAACAACGGCAAUAUGAAUUGCUGAUUUUAUUCUAAAUUUUAUUCCAAGCUCCAAAUCUAUUGAACGAAACUUGCUACCCUAGGUGUCAAAAUGCGUUCAUUUUCUUAUUAUGGCUGCAUUAAGAUGUCUUUCUUUCAUCCAGUCACGACUCACGAGAUAAUUUUAUUUGGCCAAAGUGCAGAUCAUCCUUUUGAAUAUUCUGCAUUCGAGAUCAUUGAAAAUCUGGAGAAAAUUCAUUUAAAUCUUCGUGCUCUCCUUACUCGUUCUCUUUUUGUAAAUUUAACGUCCAUCAAAAAUUAAGUUGUUCUAAUUUUUUUUUGUUUUUUGAUGGAACCGGGAUUAAUCCCUGUUUAUGAUUAAAGAAAAGGUGAGUACAAAAUAGGUAAAGAAGAAAAGUAGAGUGCAGGGAAAAAAAAAAAGGUUGGCUAUUGUAACCCGAAAAGUUGAUUUGCAAUAAUCCCGUUCAGUGCUUUGUUGGAACAACAUCCACCAGAUUUCAAAUUCUUGUAAAAUUCGUUUAGCUAUCGCUCUCCAAUCUAUGCGCAUAUUUUAAAAUAUUUGUUGGUUACUGUUAGUGCUAUAAAAAUUGCGCCAUAUGGUGAGCAGGAACGCAUCGCGAAGCUAAAUAUAAAGUGACGUGCGGUGCACCAGGAUUUGAGAAAAAUGCACCCAAAAAUCGAAAAUCGGUUAGAGUUGAUGCAGUUAGGAUCAGUUAAGAAUGGCCCACAGAAGUUGGGACAUGGCCGAUUGUGGGGAAUAACUAAAUAAAUAACCGGCGGGACUAUAAAUAGUAAGAAGACGCCUGACAAAUGGUCUUUUUUUCCUGAGAAUAAGAAAACCAAUUUAUUUUCGUGCACUUUCUCGUUUUCUAGGAGUAGUCUACUUGUAAUUUUUCUUUCCCUUAUAUUUCUUACUUUUCUGGGAGUAGUUUUAAGUUAGUUUCCCUUAAGAUCAGAUGUCUUAGCGGCAUCCACUUUUCUGUAAAUAUUCAUCUUCUUUGGUAAUAUAUAUUAGCACUAUUCUGCUCAUUUCAGUUGAACCGAACAUACAGUAUAGCAUUUGAACUCAGCCGGUCAGAUCCAUCAUCAGCUGAAUCGCUUGAUUCAAUUAUGAGUGCAAACUUCGAGUGUCACUAUCAGAAGCCGCUCUACUUCUUUGUACACUUCCCGAAGAAGGACAUUUGACCGAGUCAACGGUCUUGGGGUCCAGCUCAUAAUAGUUAUGUUGUUUUCAAAUUAUCCGGCAAUAACAAGUGAAAAAAAGUCUUAAAUUGUUUUUUAGUAUACCAAGGCUACUUCUCUCUAAAUUAUCUCCCGAAAGAAAAUAGGUUGGUGUCGCAGUUCACAUUUGAAGUAUCGAGAUAAAAGGAUGCAGCACAAUCUUCCCAGACCCUUUAUAGUCCACAUGCAUGUAAUGAAUAGGUGUUGUGCGAUCUCAUCAUCUAAGUUGCAUAGAAUGCAACAGGUAGUCUUCGUUUUUAUAUUCAAGAUGAAAGUGUUUUGUCUUCUCCCCAAGGUAGCAUUGCCGAGCGGGCGAUCCCUUUUUUUGAUCCUGAGGAUCUACUUCAAUUCCUCGGUGUAUAACUAUGAAACCGAGGAACUUGCCUGAAGUGAGACUGAAGGCACAGUCGUUCAGAAUCUGAAGAUUGCAACAGUCGUGACCCGUUGAGAUCACAGACGGUCUCGCAUUUUCAUUUGGCUUGAAGGAGGAGCCGAAGACCGGCCUGCUUGGACACUAAGUCCUUUUUCUGCCAAAAAGAAAGAGAAAUCCGCACAAUUCCCCUUCACGUAUGGUUACCUGAUGCUAUGGAAGGACCCACUCCCUUCGAAUGGUGUUGGUCCGUAGGACCGUGAACGGAUUCUUCUCAAAUUAGUUGAACUUGAAUCAUCUGUUUAGGCACCUGCUUCAAAUGGUCAACCCUUCUCUUUUUCCUAAAAAGGGAAAAGGAAGGGCUGUCUGGGGUGUUAUCGUUCCCCAAAAACCAGCAUAAAAAAUAGAUCCUGGUCUACUUUGAUGACAUCCUGUCAAGCAGAUGCUUAUUGCCUGUGAGAUAUGUAUUGACAGUUCAAAAAGAUUCGGUUGGAGUUGUCUUUCCUGGGGUCAGGAGAAAAAUAUGAGUAACCUCCUCAAAAGCUGAUUCACGGCAAGAUUUUAGGCCUAACCAAAAAGUCUUAUGUCCUCCGUGUCGCACGGCGUUUUAACCGAAAGAUCCGCCUUUGGACCUGGAACCAUACGAAGGGCGCGCUAUCCGACCCGAAAGGGAAAACGAAGUCUCAGUCGUCAGUUAGAUGAUGACACUGUUUUUUUGGAGCGAACGACCUGAUACUACCUUAUUACUUAUUUUAACUCAUUGCAUUCAAUAUUGGCCAAAUUGGGUGGUUCUUACUAGUUUGGAGGUAGACCCGCGGAUCGUCCCUAUUCUCUCUUUUUUCUUGCCAAGAUGCUAUGGCGGGCGUACUAGGAGUUAGGAACUCGCCUGCAUGAAGCCGGAAUUGCUAGUAAUCGCCGCAAUCACAUUUGCCUUUGCCUCAUAUUCCAGUCUUAUCGUAAUUUCGUACUUGAAUUCAUCUCUUGUGAAGUUGUCUCUGCUUGGCGGGACAUAAUUCAACCAGAAAAUAAGGAGCCGUAUUGAUUUUCGGGUAAAAUAGGAAGAGAUGAAUCUGGCAUUGGUGACAUUUCUUGGCGUAUUCAACGCAAUCCUUAGCCAGUUUACCCAAGGUACUAGCUAUCCGACUUAGACUUUUUUGUUUGAGUCCUGACAAGUGCAAUUCCCAAUUCACACACAUGGGGACAUCUAACGAAGGAUUCUUCGCUUACCAAACCAAUUGCAAUUAAGUCAUUCGAACAUAAACCAAAAACGGUAGCCUUCACUUCAUCUUCGCUAGGUGUGAAAUCCCAUUGUAUUCGAGGAGUAAAGGAUUUGCUGGGAGAAAAUUCUCUUGACAGUCAAAUAUCUCAUUUUAGGUUUUUCGCUAGUAGGACGCCCGAUUCGAUCGACGAAUUUGGCUAGCUGAUCAAAAAAAGAAAUAUUUGAACUAUGAUUCAUACCUACUAUUUAUUCAGACCUCGCGGGAGACCCAGACUUUUAUACUUCAAUACCCUAUGUGCCGGAGUGGCUUUGAUAGGUAGAAUGCUCAUCUAGCCGGAAUUAAGAUAAUGCUUACUCCCCACAUUCCUUUUCAGGAGAAGAGUCUUUUGGCUAACGAACGGGAACCAGGGAAGUUAGCCUUUCUUCUUUCUUUGCCGGUCUUUUUCUUUUCUCAAAUAUGAAUUGGCAAACAAAGAAAGCGGUAGUCCUAAGCGGGCCAACGGACGGCAAGGGUAAGUAUGGCAUUUCAUUGAUCAAGAACAAUCUAAAAAUUAAGUAAGAUGAUAAACCAUGAGUGAGUUCUUGUUGCAUUCUCAAACCUACCUUAGCUUAGCAGGCUCAGUACAGCAUGGUUCAGGUAGGUUCGAGAGCCCAUCUAGCUCAACUCGAGCUUCUUGAUGAAUUGCGUUUAAAGGCAGUUGAGCACACUCAAGCCUAUCAGAAGCGGAUGGCACGACCGAAGGAAGACGCACCGAGAUCCUACUUCUUUCUUCGUUUUCAACUACUUAUUUUCCAGGCCCUUGUUCUCACCGCGUCAGUUUGGGAUUCCAUUUUGGAUUUCUGCCAUUCCUCUCUGUCAACUCGAAGUCUAAGGCAAGGAACUUUCAAAUAUACAUAUUGCUCACCCUUAUAGCUUAUAGGGCACUUUAUCCAUAUUUUUCAUCCGCUUCCGAAAUGGAUAUCUAGCCGGGCCAAUACUCACUUCCUCAAAAGAGAGAGCCCGCUAUAAGCCCGUGAUCGGCCCUUCAACCCAAGAGGGAUAUGACGAUUGUCUGGAGCGAUUUCUGACCGAUAAUGGAUCCUCUAUCCCUAGUCUACUUCAAAACGACUCCUACAGGCUUAACGGCUUGCUCGUAUUGGUUCCGUUUAGGCCUUCAUCUUAGUAGCGUGAUGUUACCGGUUAGUUCAACGAUCAAUAGUAGUUUCCAACCUAAGUUACCGGGGCACUUAAGUGCCCGUAGCGGAAGGAUAUAAGUCUCGGGAAGGGGAGAGGUGCAGGGGGGGGAAACAGUUUCCCACCCAAUGUAAAAUUGUUCCUCCUAAAAAGAUUAUUCCAGAAUAAAUGGGCAAUAGUUAGGAGAGGUGCGCCAGCGGCAUCAGUUUCCUUGUCAUGGAAAGUUUCAGCAUUUUCCCACUCUCAAUUGAAUUACCACAGCCUCAUAAAAAAUUGGUUGCUGUUCUCUUCUCCAUCACUGCCAUGAUUUCCCCAUCUUUUCUUCUGCUCUUAAGUCCCUGAACUUAUAAAGUCUUGUUUCCACCUCUAACGCCUCUCCUCUGGCGCCGGGAACCAGAACCACGGCUACUGCUGCCUCCUCUGACGACCCUUGCUAUGUCGGUAAAUGGAUUGGGGGGCUAAUGCACCCUUAGAGGUUUGGGAACUUCUUGAAUUGACCUAGCCUGUUGUCUUACUAGUGGACUCUUGAACUGAGUGAUGAAAAACCACUGUCAGAUCCACCGGAAUGAUCCUUUUUGUUUUUCAAAAAAAAAUCAUCAUGGAAGCAUUCUCAAACAUAAUGGUCGUAGAGUCUAUAGGUUCGAUAACCUUCUCUCAAGGAUUCCACCAAGUCAUAAGGAAACCCGUAACCGUCACUUAAAAACGGAAGGUGGCAGUGGUCUGAGGGACAGCCAAGGUAAUGUUAUUAAUUUGCAUUCUACUCCUUCUUUGGUAGCGGAUCCAGCUUUUUUGCAGAACCCUAAACCCUAAACCCUAAACCCUAAACCUUAGGGAGGAAAUAGUUUUCCACCCAUGUGUUAAGCAAAUGCAUCCGAUCACUAGUUCCAUAGGAAGAAUUCCUUUCCCAUUUAAUAUUUCGAGAUCGAAAUUGUUUUGGUAGAUAAUAGGAAGUCAAAAAGCCAAAUCCAGGAGAGGAAGCCGAAAAAACAAAGGCUCUUUUCGUUUCUGCUUGCAGAGUCCUUCAAAAAGAAUUUGCAGACCGGGGGUCGGGGAUGUGAACCGUUCAGCAACCAAUCAGUCUAUGGCGCGCCGGGCUGUAGGUUCUCAUGGAUUUAUCUCUGCUCACGGAAAAGGCAUCAGGAAGAACAACCAUUUGACUUUGGCACAUGAUUUUUUGGCCCCGGGAGGAAACUCUUCAAGCCCCCUGAGAUACAAUGGCUUGCCCACUUGAGACCGUUUCACUCUUAUUUCCUACGGAUUGGUUAGUGGGGACUACACUUCAUCCUUAUCCUUCCCUAGGCUCCGCUCAAGGCGAUGGAUGACUAUCACUAUAAUAUUUCUAUCCCUUUUAUGAUAAUCGUAAUUUCCAGGCGAUUGAUGAUCGUAAUUUCCAGUAUGUGGCAGGAAUACCAAAAUCUUGACUAGGCGAUAAAUAAAAAAGUUCAAGGUGCCGUCCGUACAGUAAAGCGUGUGCAUUUAGAAAGGUUGACAACUUCUAUUUACUUGGCCGGAAGGUCACUUGCUUUUAGGAUAGGUUUUCAGAGAACUUUUUUUAUUUUCAUCCUCCGGCCGACAGAAUCAGGUUUUUUGCUGGCUGGCUCUCUAGUUCCAUUCGCUAGACCCGUUCCAGUGCAGAGGCUUAAUAAAAUGCUUCUGUUGUUGUUACAGCAGAGCUAUGGGAGUCGAACCCAAUCAGUGAACCAGAUGGUCGCGACGAGGGAAUCUGGGACGGAGGACUCGUAAUAUCUCUAUAGGUUGAAUUGUUCCAGAACCGCUUCCACGAAAUUUUAGGGAUUUGGGUCUGCUGUAUCAAUGCACCAGGACGGACUCCCUCUAUGGAUCUCAACUACGAUCAUAAGGAGGAACUACAAGAAGAGAUACAAUCGUGAAAUUCAUAAAUAACCCUUGCUGGGAUCCUUUUGCCCCCCACUUCAACAAGUCUAUGUGUAAGAUAUCCAGCAUCUGAUGUUCGUACAGCAAAUUCCUUAUUCAUCUUUCUUAUUCGAAACUAAAAAUAUACUUAUUUAAUAGAGUCAAAAUGUUAGAAAAUCUCCUUUUUUGAGAACUUGGCUUGCUCUCUUCUUUACCUUUAAGCCUAAUUCCUAGCUCAAGUGGGGAAGCAAAAGAAGCAAGAGAGCCUCCGACAGGACUGGAAUCUUCGACUGGAACAUUGUGUCCUUUUUCCCUUUCUGCACUAUCCAAAAUAUUCUAUUUGGUUAAUCUACAUGAGAUCAGAAGCGAAUUGUGCAAAGGCUUAUAAUUCUUUCUAAGUGGUAGGUGGGAUCGGAAAAGGUAGGCAUCUCUUCUUUGAGGAGUAUGGGUAUUUGAAAAAAAAAUUCAAAUUAGUUUGAGAUAUCAACAGACACAGAAAGAGAUCUCAAUCCUGCAAGACCGAUGUUACGAGCUUCUGGAAUCCAAUGGGAUCUUCGUAAAGUUGAUCAUUAUGAGUGUUACAAUGAAUUCGAUUGGGAAGUCCAUGUACUCUACGGAUAGAGGAAUACAUAGAGUUGAACAUAGUAAAAUAAGAAAUUGAAAGAUUUCGUUGAAAUUGUUCGUUUGGAAAUUUCCCGAAAAGUAAUUAUAGGUCCUUCUCUCCAUCGGAACAAUAUGGCCGUUAUGUUUAUUACUGAACUAGUUGAAGAGAAGCAAACCUGCUAGCAAGUCAGGUUAGAUAGUUGGGAUGAGAUAAGUAGAGGAGUACGGAAGGGGAUAUUCGACAAAGGCCAGCCCUCAGGAGAGGAGAUAUUUCAUUAGUAGUAAGCCGCUAGAGUCACCCCGAGUCAGUAAGUUGAGAUAGAAGUUAAAAUUAUGUAAUUCUAUUUUGAAAUGAAAGAGUUGAACCUGGUUACGACUGAAGAUCUCAGUCUUGAAAGAUCGUAUGUGCUCUUCUAACUCCUAUAGUUACUCGAGUAACUUCGCCUUGGUCGUCUAUAAGCUCGUGUAUGGUCUCGCCAACUGAAUUCUUUGUGCGCUUAGAAGUCGAGUCAAUUGGUGACGGUUUUUUCUUUCUCUCGCCCAAAGUGGGAGAGAUUUUGUUUGAUCUAUGUGACCAUACUGAUACAACCAUGGCUCACUUGUGUGAAGAAUUUUUUCUUCGAGAUAGGCAAUGGUAGAUGCAUCCAACCAAUUGAAAGCCUGCCCCUAUCUUUAGCUUUCACUUUAUUCGUGAGUCAUUUCUUCUCUUUUUGGCCCAGCACUAAAUAGGUGUAGAGUGCGGAGUAGCGAAGGGGCAUUGGUAGACGGUUCCCUUUCCCCCAGAUCAAUGAAGAAGGGAGAAGUCAGUUGAUUCUUCCGAAGAACCGGAAGCGAAGCGCUAUACUUGAAAGAAGGGAAGAGUCCUUCUUUCUUACCCUCUCACAUGCUUUAUCCCUAGCUUGUUACCUAGCACUUUACCCCGCUGGGAGGUCGUCUUUUUCUUUUUUAGUGACAGAAAAAUCUCAUUUAUUGGUUCAUUGUACAUAUCCAUUUUUGUUAAAGUAUCUUCUUUCUAUGCUAUGAUUUGCCCAAGUUAUGACUGACAGUCUCUUUGUAUCAAAGAAGACCUUUAUGCAGAAUAUUGAAAAGGUGGUUUUUUUCCCUUGGAGAGGAACGUAGCAGCCAAAUAUGAACACCAUGACUUGGAGUUGGAUAGCCAGUAGGUUCUAGGGCAAUCUCCUUCGUUUCGGUUUGUUUUUUUUUUCACGCCGCAUGGGCUAGUCCCUGAAAGGUUCCGUUCGGGAAAAAUCUUUCCUUUUCAGAAGGGACUUUCUUAAAGAAGUGAAAGCGCCUGCGCAUCUUUUCAUUUAGUUAACCCUCUCCGACGUCAAGAAAAUUAGUUAGGCCCCCUACCACUUGGUUGGAAUAAAAGAAAAGAGUAGGGUGAGAAGCACCUAGAUACACGGUAGAUUAAAUUUGCUCUUCUUCCCCUCCGGGGGUUGCUAGAGGGACAGGGAGACAAUGGAUUAGUAUGAUGAGCUUAGUUGCCUGACUAGUCAGCUUGCAGAGGAAGAGGCCAACAAGACCAAAAGCAGUUCGGGCAAAAGAAGUUUUGGAUAUCAAGGUAUAGGGCUAGUUUGUUAAUACCAAUACCUUAUUAAGAGAUAAUAGUAACCGAAAGAAUGAGUAAACGAGUGAAUCGGAUUCGGUUGGGUCAAAGGAUUUCACAUUCCAUAGAAUGACGGAAUUCCCCAAAUUUCCCUUUGGGGGUGGUUCACGCGACUUCCCCUGAGCGCAUAGUGAUAGGUACCGCAUCUUUCCCUGUGUCUGAGGACUCGGCUGGACCUACAUCGAAAUCGAAAGAAAAAAGUAGCAGUUUAGGAAGAAGGAUCUAGUUGAAGUGCUAGAAGUCAAAGAAGGCUUGGUGCCUAGCGAAAGCCAGUGAUUACCCUUUCCUUUGCCCCGGUCCCACACUAAACAAACGAAUAUCUCCUCGAGAUAGGAGGAGGUCCUCUUUAAAAAGUAGUUUAGUCCCAUCCGCUAUAGCUCCCACCCUUUUUUAGACUCUGACUCUGCCUCUGGGGAAGUGCUCACAUCAACUAGAAUUUGGAUGGAGCUUAUUAAGUCCCCUUCAGUCUUACCAAGUGCCUUAAGCAUAAAUAGAAAGGGGGCUAGUUUCAGUGGAUCGAUCAAAGGGGGACUGGGCUACAAAAUUUACUUGGUCCUGUUGUUCAUUUUUUUGUUGCAUAUCGAACAGAUCUAAUCAGAAUAGAGGAUUAGGGGCGACAUGACCUAGAAGUUGUACAUCAAGAAGAAUGAAGAGCACUCAAAAUUUUGUCCUUUGAAAGGAAGGGAAGUAGCUUAGGGGCGAAUAAGCUAUAAGAUUCGUUUUGGGCCGGAGCGAGAAGCCACGCUCUUGAGUCGAUUCUCAAGUCGUACCCCUGUCACCGUCUAUCGAGCAAUUGAAAAUUCAAUUAAGUAGUAGAAUAAAAGUGUGAAACGUCUUCAUUUCAAAUAAGAAGAUUAUUUUUGGUAGUAGUAUAAUUUAUAGAAUAGGAUUGAAUUGCAUAAUCAUAAAAGGAAUCGAACCAGCCCAACCAGAAACCCAAUAAUUUAUCUAGGAAUCGAAGUUUGGACCUUGGAGAGACUGAAAUUCUUUCAAGUUCUUUGGAGGAGGGCUCGCUUUGACCGUUAGGAGUAGGUAACCCGUUCCCUAUCUUUGUUUCUUUGUUUCUACUGCAUUCUAUCUCAUCGUAUCACAUUCAGUUCUAGUCCAAACCAGCUGAGCUAGCUCAUUUUUCCUGAUCUACUCUACUCUUUCGAGAAAGGUAGGGGUAAUUGCUGGGAUUAAAUGCUAGGAUUCACCUCCGGCUGACUAGUCACCCCCGGGGCAAUUAUGAGUCAUUCCCAAAAUACCUACCUUUCUCAAAUCAUAUUCCUAGCAUUAUGGAGUUGAAUAAGAAAUCCAUUAUAAGUGCCCUCGGAAAUCCAUUAUAAGUGCCCCCAGAAAUCUUGAAAGGGCCCAUUCAGGAACAAGACAAUGACAUCGUGACAGAACUGCAGAACUCAUCAGAGAGACGUGUGAUACAUGUUCCUUCUAUUUCUCCAAGUAAAAUUUUCCAUCUCAAAACGAAAGGGUGCCCGCGUCAAACACGCCUACAUCAUCAGAUUCAUUUCGAAUUUCUAGUGGUAUAAAAAUGCCGCUGGUAAAAUAUAUUAUUUUAUGUCUGCCCUUACUCCAUUAGCGCCCCGAUGGAAUGCAUUGAAGAAAGGAAUCCAAAGAUUUAAGGUCAUUUCUUCAAAUUGCUCGGGCGCAGGUGCCAGAUCCUCAAAGUAGAGUGUAGAUCAGCCUAGUGCACCAACCACGUGCUAGUGGGAAGACAAGAAGGCAGCAAUUGGAGUGCUCCAGAUUUGAAGAAUGCAGGCGUCUAUUCGAGCACUUCGGGGAACGAUAACACCCCAGGCAGCCCUUCCUUUUCCCUUUUUAGGAAAAAGAGAAGGGUUCCAAAUUGAGAUUCUGCAAUGAAGGAAAAUCGGCUUGUUCCAACCAACUUCUUUUUUCUCAAGUUGUCGGCCAUUAAGAUUUUGUUUUUACACAUUAACCACAUAAAGAUUUUUGGUUUAAGAGGGACACAUGUUUUCCAAAUCACCUUUAAAUUAGCCAUAGUAACACCUCCAUUAAUAAGAAAACAAUAUGUCAAAACUACAGAAAAAUUUCGGCUCGCUAUUCAGUUCCAAAUAAUUCGAUUGUCGACAUAUUAAAAAUAUGUUUGCUGCACCACCCUCACAAGCUGGGUGAGGUCGUUAUAAGCAAUAAGAGUAAGUGGGCUAUGAAAUUGCCCAUAUAACUGUUGCGAAGUGAGAUUGACCCAGUGCAUGAUGGUAGCAAAUUUAUUGUGUCGCCUUGAAUAAUUUAGGGUAAAGAUUUUGGGAGCUAUUGCCAUAUAGUCUCAUUUUAAAAAAAAAAUCACCAUUUUAGCCUUUUUUAAAAAUAAUUUUUAAUCUGGCCUCAUUUAAACUAAUUAGUAAAAAAGUAAUAUCAAAAAAUUUAUUUUAUUGCUAAUUACUUUCCAAUCCUAUCUCUCUCUCUCCCUCCCUCCCUCCUUCCCUCCUCCACCACCCCCAACUUCCAAUUGAGCUCCUUUAUGAUCUCUCCCAUCAACCCGUCACCCCCGCCUCCGCCUCCUCCCUCCUCACUGGUUCACCUUACCGCCAACAGCCACCACCCUGCCAUCCAUCGCCUCCUUUCUCUCUCUUUUCCCCUCGUCCUAUUCUCUAUCAUUAGGCGAGAAAAAAUACUUUUAUUUCAAGAAUUAUUUUGAAAUGAAACAACAAAAGUUCAUUUGAUAUAACAAAAAUUUCUUUGCUAUCUCCAAGUUAUUGAUGGAAAGAAAAAAAAUACUAUAUUCGUUUGCUAUCCAUCUAUCUAUCUAUAUAUUUAUCUAUCCAUUAUUAUUAUUAUUAUUAUUAUUAUUAUUAUUAUUAUUAUAAUGGUUUUGAAUUUAGGAUUGCGUGGAAAAGAGAACACGGAGGGUUUGUACGACAGCAGAUGAUUGGGUGGCGGCAGUGAGCAGCAGCGGUGAGGAAGGGCAUGCAGGGUGAAAGGUGGAAGGUAAGGGUAAGAGAGAGAGUGAGAGAGAGAGAGAGAGAGAGAGAGGCAAUGGGCGGCAGGGUUCACAGUGGCGAGAAGGGAGGGAGUUAAGGGUGGCGGGUUGGUGGGAGAGAUAGAGAGAGAGAAAGAGAGAGCUUAGUUGGAAGUUGGGGGCGGAGGAUAGAGGAAGGGAGAGAGAUGGGAUUGUAAAGUAAUUAGCAAUAAAAUAAGAGCAAUGCUCCUAUGCACCGAACAAAUCUCAACCAUUAAAAUUCUUUAAAUGGACGGUAACGAUAGACCUAUUAAAAGAGGGUGACCGGCACUUGGGGGUAUAGGUACCGGUCACCACUUUAAUAAGGGCAAAAUUUUGUUUAUUAACAUGGAAUUUGCAGUGCGGAUAUUUUGGCAAAUUUUCAUCCUCAUAACAUGCCAUUUUUGUAAAUUUAGAAUAUUCCACCUUCCUUCAUUUUUAUCCUCCAAUAUUCCAUCUUUGUAUUAUUACCUUUCCUAAAUUAAACCUUAUGUCUUUAAACCAUAGUUAGUUAAUUCGAUUACGAUAAAAAUUCGAUACGGAUAAAAUACGAAUAAAAUUCGUAUCUUAAUUUUUAAGUUCGUUGACAAAUACGGUUUAAAAAUUAGAUUCGCCAAUAAUUCGUAUACGCGAUUUAUACGAAAAUUUUACGUUUAUCAUUUAAAAAUUCGGAAUAAAAAUUUGUUUAUUUAAUUAAAAGUUUUUUAGAUUUAUGCUAUUAUCAUGCAUAAAUAAUUAUAAUUCUUAUAAAAUAUAAAAAUAAAAUUGGAUAUAUAUAUAUAUAUAUACACACACAACACACACACACACACAAAAAGGGGAAGUGGAGCGAGAGGUCCACCGUGGACCUCUCACUCCACACAGUACACGAGGCUGAGUGUAGCCUCGUGGACCGCNCACUUGCACUAUGUAUUAACUCUCUCUCUCUCUCUCUCUCUCCCUCUCUUUCUCUCUUUCUCUCUCUCUCUCUUCCUUCCUUUUUCUCUCUCAUAUAUAUAUAUAUAUAUAUAUAUAUAUGUGUGUGCCUGUGUGUGUGCAGGAGGAUGUGUUUACAUACAGAGAUAUGGGUCUACGUACGUGCGCAUGCAGGAGGGGUGACACGUGUGGGGGAAUAAAGGGAUAGGUGGUUCGCUGGGUUUUCGAUUGCUUUCCAAAUAGGGGGAGAGAAUCGAUUCUUAGAUGUGCACAGUAAUCACAGAAUCCUUCAGGAACUCUCCAAAAGACACAAUCAAAAAAAAAUGUAGAGAGCUUUGUCAGCUGGGUUUUGCGCCACCUCAGGCCCUUGUGCUCAAGAAUAUAACCGCCUCUCCCUGAUAAUAUAUAACUUUUGGGUUACCUUGCAUCAUUAAUAGUUAUUGCUGGCUUAAAUUAAGGAGGCAACAUUCUGUUCUGUGACGAAAGGUUAGGUUAAGCUGAGGCACGUUCAGGAUGUCGGAUUGUUCGCUCUAUUUAUUAAUUUCAAAAGCGAUCAAACUGUUAUAAAUACACAACCAAUUUACUUAAAGCGUACAGACAUAGCUAGCGUCCAUGGGUCGCAAUUAUGACUUAGCCCAAUUAGCCUCACACCACUUCGAAUAUUAUUCAACCAAGCCUAUCUUCCGCCAUUUUGAACACGACUCGGUCUAAUCUGGCCUCCCGUCACAGAACAGGAUACUGACCCAACAAUGUUGUAUUAUCAACUGGAUUACAUAUAAUUUUGGCAUGAUAAUAUUUACCAAACAGGGCUAUGACAAUAAUUUAUCCAUUCCAAUGCUAAUUCUAGCAUAUUAGAGCUAAUAAAAACAAACCACAAAACUGGAGUUCCUUAGUAAAGAGAACAGAUGUGAACCAUCAGAUCAUAUUUAAUUUGGAUUUAGUUUGCAUAAAUUAAUUAUAAUCCAAUAGUUCACACAUGCCCUUCUUAAUAUUAGGAAGGCCCCAAUGAAUUUUUAUGCUAUAUAUAUAUAUAUGCUCACAAAACUUUUUUUUUUGAGAGAAAGAUAGCAUGCUAUUCAUUUUAUUUAUUUUCUUAAAAAAUAAAUUUAACUGAAAAUGUAAAUUAAUUAGAAUUCGAACUUAUGAUCUCGGGUACCAACCUUCAAGCUCUUUGCCACUUACAAUAGGAACGGUUGGUACAAAACAAACUUCAUUGUAGAGUUCCUCAAUAUGGAGGAUAAUAAAAAAGAGCAAUGCUCCUAUGCACCGAACAAAUCUCAACCAUUAAAAUUUUUUAAAUGGACGGUAACGAUAGACCUAUUAAAAGGGGGUGACCGGCACUUGGGAGUAUAGGUACCGGUCACUACUUUAAUAAGGGCAAAAUUUUUUUUUAUUACAUGAAAUUUGCAAUGAAGGCAUUUUGGUAAAUUUUUAUUCUCAAAAUAUGCCAUUUUUGUAAAUUUAGAAUAUUCCAUCUUCCUUCAUUCUUAUCAUCCAAUAGUCCAUCUUCGUAUUAUUAUCUUUUCUAAAUUAAACCUCAUGUCUUUAAACCAUAGUUAGUUAAUUCGAAUACGAUAAAAAUUCGAUACGGAUAAAAUACGAAUAAAAUUCGCAAUUUUAAUUUUUAAGUUCGUUGAAAAAUACGGUUUAAAAAUUAGAUUCGCCAAUAAUUCGCAUACGCGAUUUAUACGAAAAUUUUACGUUUAUCAUUUAAAAAUUCGGAAUAAAAAUUCGUUUAUUUAAUUAAAAUUUUUUUAGAUUUAUGCUAUUAUCAUGCAUAAAUAAUUAUAAUUCUUAUAAAAUAUAAAAAUAAAAUUGGAUAUAUAUAUAUAUAUAUACACACACAACACACACACACACACAAAAAGGGGAAGUGGAGCGAGAGGUCCACCGUGGACCUCUCACUCCACACAGUACACGAGGCUGAGUGUAGCCUCGUGGACCGCGAUAUUUUCCUACACGUAGUCCACGAUUUCUUCUUCCUCGCCACUCCUCUUUUCUUUUUUUGCUUUAGAAUUAUUUAGUUUAAAUAGUUAACAAAUUUUAUUUUUUUAACUAUAAUAUAAANNNNCUUUUUUGCUUUAGAAUCAUUUAGUUUAAAUAGUUAACAAAUUUUAUUUUUUUAACUAUAAUAUAAACUAAAUCUAAAUUUAAAAUUUAAUUUUAAUUAAUAUUUUUAAACUUUAAUGUUAUUUUUACUAUCGAAUGAACAAUUUGAAUUUAAUUUUAAAAUAAAAGCCUUUAAUUUAAAUAAAAAAUAAAAGUUAUGUUUAUAAAUAGAACAUAAUUUAUAAUUUAAAUUAAAUUAAUAUAUUUGAAAUUUCGUGUCAUUUUAAUAUAUCAAAUAAACAAUUUGAAUUGAAAUAUAGUAUUCAUUUAAACAUAAAUUUUUUCAUUCUGAAAAUAAAAAUAAAAAUUAAAUUUGAAUUUAAUGUACACAAUUAUAAAGUUUAAGCUCAAAUUGAAUUUUAAAUUCAAUUUAUAAAGGUUUAUUACUUAUCAAAUUAGCACUAUCUAAUUUGGUAAGUAACAAAAUUAAACAAGGAAACAAAUAUUUGUAUAAGGCUGAUCAAAUUUGAUAAUUAGCUUGUAUUUUUUUUUCCCAUAUUAUCCUUACGAAUAGUAACCUGUUAAGCAGGUAACCACUAUGAAAAAGUUAAUCUCGCCCUUAAAAUAUGAACGGUUAGAUUUAUUUUACCUGGUGUAUUGAAGCAUUCCUCAUAAAAUAAAAUUUUUAAUAAUAUUUUUUAUUAAAUAGCUCAAAAGAGACUAGAUUAAAAAUUAUUUUUGAAAAAAGGCUAGAAUGAUAGUAUUUUUUUUCAAAUGAGGCUAUAUAGGAAAAUAGCUCAAAUUUUGGAAGCUAAUGCCACUUCCCCAUCGACAUAACUAGAAAUAUGUAGACUUCCCAUCGCCUAUCUUCCAAUUUGCUGAGGUGUGAAAAAUGCUCGAAGUUUUUGUCACUUCUUCCAGAAUUGUGAAAUUGGACAUAAAAUGGAGUUAUGUAGGAAACAGGGUAUUCUUCCUGUAGAACGCAGCGGAAGUAUUUGUUCGUACCUUUUUGCGGAAGCGAUUCGCGCUACAACGCGACGAGACUGGAUUGUAGAGGUUGAUUCACGUGUCCUCGGAUCGUCUGUUACGUACCUGACUCGGCGCAACCCGCCGAUGAUGAGAUAUCGCUGAGAUGAAGGACGGCGUCGAGGAUGAUGAUACACGUAACAGCUUGCCUCGGAUGUAUCGGAUCAGAAUUGGGGUAAUCGAUGAGUUGAUGGGAAGAAUAGUAAGAUGAGAAUAGAAAGAAGAGAAUAGAAAAGAUGGGAAGAGGUAGGAUUAAGAAGAGGGAUUAAGAGAAUUAAGAGAUGUGAGAAAGAAGAAAUUUCAUUAAUUUGCCUAACCUCAAUCUCUGUUACACGCUGCCCUUUUAUUGCUACAAGAAUAAAAAAAUAAAAUAAAAACCCUAACUCUAAGUGGGCUUCAACCUUCCUUCGCGGCCCAUCCCUUCAGAAAUAUGAAUUACCGAAACUGGGCCUCGGCUGGCUUGUUUGGAUCAAACUGUAUGAUAAGCGGUAAGCGGUUCGUGGGUCCGCCUAAUCCGCACUAUCCACACCCGGGCGGGGCUUGGGUUCGUGUUUUGCCUUCGAUCCGGAAUACUGCCCAUCCGACCCGCAAGGCUUCCAUCUUCCCCAACCUUAGAUCCUGUCGGACUUCUUCCCCCCCUUCGGUCUCCCACACUCCGAUGCCUCUCCUCUUGGGCAUGGUUCCAGAAGGUUGAAGCUCUCUCUCCUGUGGAAUGAAGCAAAGAAAAGCUAAGCCCUCUCCCACUUGUACUUAUUCUACUAGACCUCAUCACUAAUACUACUCCUAAUCCUCUCACUAUGCUUGGCAGGCGUAACAUCGUCCUUGAAAGUCUUCUAACACUCCAAACUCGCGGUGGAUCGAACUACAAACGAGCACGAUCGCAAAUCCACCGUUCAAGACCCUCUAGAAUAAUAGGUGCGUAAGAGAUAAGGCCAAAUCGGUUAUUAAUUGUUAUCCUAAUGUGAUUAGAAUUUAUCUCUAAUUAGCUUUUCAAUUUAAAAGCGAGAUUAAUCCUAAUCCAAUUAGACAAUAUGAUAACCGUCGGAUUGAACCCGAUUAUGGGCGCACCAGAUUCGAUAACCGAAUGCCAACACUUCUAUUGUAAUAUGUGGAUUUGAUUAGCUUUACCCAAGGUGCGUCCUUUUCUACAAAGAACUUCCACCACCAAUGACAAGGAAUGUAGUGUUUUGUGCUUUUAAGCUUUUCAACCAAGUCCUCCCAUGUACUUUGGUCGACAAACUAUCUUCCAUUGAGCAAGGCAACGACCACCCAACACUUCUAGAUUUUCGUUCCAAAAAAAAUGACUCCUUACUUUGUCUAUCCUCGCAAUAACCCAAGAUGGUAGCUUGAAGUUUGCCAUGAAGAAGCUUGGGAGAUUGCGUAGGACCAAAAUAAGGAGGGUAAGCUGACCUCCUACAGAAAGAAGAAUACAUUUCCAACCUGUUAAUCGAUUGUCAAACUUCUCUAUUAGAGGCAUGUAAUCUCGUCUUCUUAAAGAGUGUGGUGUCAGGGUAAGCCUAGAUAGUUAAUUGGAAAAGAUUGAGUUUUGCAUUGUAAACUCUCCAAUAAUGUGGUGGUUUCCUCCAUAGUAAGAUUGAUGGGCACUAAUAUGCUCUUGUGAAAGUUGAUUCGCAAUCCCAAGCUUGAUUCAAAGCAUUCAAGCAGAAAUUUGAUAAUAAUGGCCUGCCUGUGUGAGUUGUCAAUAAAUAACAACAUGUCAUCUGUAUAUUGUCGGAGAUAGAAUACGUUAUCCGUUCUGAAUUUUUUUUUUUUUUAAAUCGUGAAUCAUUGCCCUUUCAAAGAUUCUCUAGCAUGUGACGACUAGGUUAAACAGGAGUAGCAAGAGCAGUCCCCCUGACGAAGUCCUUUCCGGUAUUGAAAGCUUUUUCCAAGAACACCAUUAAUGAGAAUUGCAGUAUUACAUGAUUUGAAAAUGCACCUGAUCUAUGAUAUCCAUUUGUUCCCAAAGCCUCUGGCAACUAACAAAUUAUAGAGGAAAUCCUAGUUUACGUUGUUGAAUGCUUUUUCAAGGUCAAUUUUCAGCAAUGCUGCUUUCACUUUGAUCAUGUGCAGCAGUAGGUGGAUCAUUUCAUAUGCCUAUGCAAAAUUGUUUGAGAUAACCUUAUCUUUUAUGAAGGCUGAUUGGAAUGGAUUAAUAAGUUGAGAGAUAAUAGUUUGUAGCCUUCCGAUAAGGACCUUCUAGACAAGUUUUCCAAUGAAGUGAAUAAGACUUAUAGGUCUAUAGUCUUUAAUUCCACUAGCUUCGGGCACUUUUGGGAUUAAUGAGAUCCAAUAGUUAUAAGAUUUGACAUAUUGGCAUUACCUCUAUGGAGAACUGAGAAAAUAGCUCCAAAGUCAUCUAAUGUCAUGCACAAUAACAUUCCAAAAGUGUUGGAAAAAGAUCAUCAGAAACCUAUCUAGCCUCAGUGCUUUAUCUAGUGGGGAGAAGAAAAUUGCAUUGUUAAGUUUCUUCCUUCGUGAACUCAUUUUCAAAUAAAGAAAGGUCCACCUGUGGGAUGCCAUACAGGUUGGAAAAGUCGAUAGUAGUAAUAGGGGUAAAUUCUAUAUCCAAUAAUUUAGUAUAGAACUCACAGAAAAGUCUAGUUAUAUCCUACUAUGUACUUGUUGUAGCAUUUAAAUCAUUGACUGCGAUAAUGUAAUUUCUUCUUCUUCUACUAUUAGCAUAUUGGUGAAAGAAUUUUGUAUUGCCAUCGCCCUCCUUAAGCCAAGUGAUGUGAGAGCAUUGGGACCACUUUAGCUCUUCAAGAUGUUCCACUCUUUUUCGUAGAAGGCACCAAACUUUGAAUUCCUCCUCAUUUAGCCUGCUUGCUUCUUCAAUUAUGUCGAGACGAUUGAUCCAUUUCUUACAUUCUUGUCAUUGUUUGGAAAUAUUUCCUACUUUAGUUUUACUCCAGUUGGACAAGGCAUCUUGCUUGGCCUUUAGCUUGAAGAGAAGAUUUUGCGAUGGGUUGGAAUUAUCUGUAGUUUAGUUCCACAAUGUUAUUUACUCCUCCGUACUUCAACCAACAGGUUUCAAACUUGAAGAAAUUUGUAGCUGGUAUUGUUAUUUGACAAAAAUAACGAAAUUAGGGCAUGGUCCGACGUAGCACAAGGAAGAGAAGAUAAUAUAUAAUUCAGGCAGGCGAAGUUCCAUUCAUUGUUUAUAAGGCAUCUGCUCAGCUUCUCUAAAAUGGGGUCCAUUCUUCUACUAGACUAAGUGUAGCAUCGAUGCUUUAGUGGGAUUUCAAUAAGUUGCAGCUCACUCACCAGAGAUCUGGAUUUAAGCAUUUCAUUGAUGCUAGUAGGCAUUGUAUUUUUCUCCCUGAUCGAUAAAAUAAUGUUAAAGUGCACAAUCAUGCAACAAGAUCCGAUGAAGUGUGAUAUGAUUGAUAGCAACUCCGCAAAGAAUUCAUUCCAUGGUUCCAAAUCGUUUGGCCCAUAGACAUUAGUGAUCAUAAAAGGGUCUCCUCUUGCUCGAGUUUUGAGAACCACUGUAAUUGAGAUACUGUCGACGCAUGGGUGAGAGAUGUCAAAAAAUGUGCUAUUCUAGACAGUGAUGAUGCCUCCUUUAGUUCCAAUGGCAUUAAGAGUGAGGAAUUUAUCAAAGUGAUUUCCAUAGAAUGAUUUUAUAAGUGAUAAAUCCGCGAAAGUAAUUGGUUUCUUGCAAGCACACAAUUUUAGGUUUGCAUCCCAUAACAGCGCUUCUCACGACAAUAUGCUUCUAUGGUCCAUUAAGAACCUGUACAUGCCAAGACAAAAAUGGAAAGAAACUUUACUCUAGUCAUAAUAAAAUAGACAAAACCUAAUAUACAUGCCAGGACAAAAUGGAAAGAAACAUUACUCUAGUCCUAAUAAAAUAGACAAAACCUAAUAACUCGACAAGAAGUACCACCCAAUGCCUGUUAGUAUUAAUUUGAUUUUAAGUGAUUUAAAACUUCUUUAUGGCCCAUGGGCUUCUUGGGCAGCCCAACAUCCAAUAGGCUUUGUUUGGGAGCCCGCGCAUAAGUUUCUACAUGUGAGUUUAGUCCCACAUUGGAAACUCAUGACUUGUUGUUGUUACUUUAUGUUUUCUGUCAACUUCAAGCUCGUUGCUUGGAUAAGAAUAAGAAUAGUGCUUCCCACAAAACACACACAAGCACAAGCCCAGCGGGGCCGGGCCAAGCGGGCGUCGGCGUGCCCGGCCUUGGCUACUUGGUUCGAUUCAUUUUAUCUUUUUUUAGGUUUUUAUAUUUUAGCUUAAAACCUUAGCUGAACCUACUUGGGAAUUGGUCCUAUGGGCUGCCCAAGGAUCAGCUUAGUAACUCGAGAGCUGCUACUCGGUAAGGUCCAACGGCUAAGCCGAGACAAAGCCGUUGGACCCUACCUCCCAUUAGCUGCAUAAGGCAACAAAUCCUACUGGCUCCUAUCAGUAUACUAGAGAAUGGGGAGAAGAGGUUAAGUACCUUUUACCUUGUUUCAUCUUCUCUCUAAUACUUCUUCUACUCUUAGCUUUAACCCAAGUUUCUUCUAUUGCACUUAUUUUGCUAGAUGUCUGAAAGUUCGCUUGGUUCGAAUUGCAUCACCCUGAAGAUGUGCUGGGGGGUAGACAAUGGUUGUUCUAUCGCUAGAGAUGAUUGCCGAAGUCUUGCAUGUGGAGGGGAAAUCUUGCUUCUAGGUCUAUGCCUAGCAUGCCUCAACUCACAGGCCUCAUUCAAUCUUUACAUCUCUAUAAUAUUUCUUGGAUGCAUUUUUAAAUAGUUGUUUGAACUUCUUAUUCAAAAUAUUUGCAAAAGGGAUACAAUUUUAUUAAAAGAAUAGAGAGAUUCUGCCAACAUUCUAAAGGCGAGAUUAUUUCAUCUUUCUAUUUCUUUUAGUAUCGUAGAUAAAAUAUUAUAUCGCUAUAGGUUAAAAUAUAUAUCCUAUUGUUGAUAUUGCAUUGUUCAUCUAUAUAGUAGUGACAUUAUAGUUGUUAUAAAAUUAUCUCUGUUAACAUAGAUAACAUACUAUCACUGAACAUAACCUAGAAUACUUUACUGUUAUUUUUCUAAACUUUAGUGCAGUCUUGUGACAUUAUUGUAGGAUUCUUUGUAAACAGAUUCAUCUUAAUGGAGAAUUCGUAUUUAGCGAACCCUUUUAUAUUUAAGAGGUGGCAAAACCAAAUGAGGUUCAGGCUCACCACACUUGGGUUUGUUUCUACUAUCUCGGAUCCUAUCGGGAAUAGCAAUAGAUCUAUCUGCACCUCAAGGUGCAAUCCAGACUGUGGUCAAUAGACUUUAUACUCGGAGCCAAGCCCAGGCCGGAUCUACUCCUCCUGUUGAAACUGCAACUACACCUGCACCUGUAGUUGCACCUCCUCUUGACCCUAAUAUGAUCAACUAUCAUUGAUUGAAUCGAAUUCUUAGUACCCUAUCUAACAAAUUUUAUGAUAUAUACUGUAGUGCUAAAACAGCUAGAUAACUUUGGAUAUCUUUAGAAAACAAGUAUGGUCAGGUUGAUCCCACCCAGAAAAGAUACCAAGCUCCGAUUUAAUUAAGUUCAAGUUGGUAGAAAGUAAAACUAUGUUUGACAAACUUUAUAAUUUU
This 23461-nucleotide long non-coding RNA is filed under the name Ananas comosus (pineapple). RNAcentral's name for it is "long non-coding RNA (ACOM_LNC008919)". Lineage: Eukaryota; Viridiplantae; Streptophyta; Magnoliopsida; Poales; Bromeliaceae. The record is from RNAcentral.